This 259-nucleotide ribosomal RNA is filed under the name uncultured Staphylococcus sp. RNAcentral describes it as "partial 16S ribosomal RNA". It matches the Rfam family "Bacterial small subunit ribosomal RNA", at positions 103 to 354 of the family's 1533-position model. Lineage: Bacteria; Bacillati; Bacillota; Bacilli; Caryophanales; Staphylococcaceae. The record is from RNAcentral.
CGGGUGAGUAACACGUGGAUAACCUACCUAUAAGACUGGGAUAACUUCGGGAAACCGGAGCUAAUACCGGAUAAUAUAUUGAACCGCAUGGUUCAAUAGUGAAAGACGGCUUUGCUGUCACUUAUAGAUGGAUCCGCGCCGCAUUAGCUAGUUGGUAAGGUAACGGCUUACCAAGGCAACGAUGCGUAGCCGACCUGAGAGGGUGAUCGGCCACACUGGAACUGAGACACGGUCCAGACUCCUACGGGAGGCAGCAGGC